GAGGGUAUAGCUCAGUGGUAGAGCACCUGCUUAGCAUGUGGAAGGUCCUGGGUUCAAUCCUCAGCACCUUUG
This 72-nucleotide transfer RNA is filed under the name Camelus bactrianus (Bactrian camel). It matches the Rfam family "tRNA". From Rfam's summary of the family: Transfer RNA (tRNA) molecules are approximately 80 nucleotides in length. Their secondary structure includes four short double-helical elements and three loops (D, anti-codon, and T loops). Lineage: Eukaryota; Metazoa; Chordata; Mammalia; Artiodactyla; Camelidae. The record is from Rfam by way of RNAcentral. RNAcentral also lists the same sequence under 2 other names.